Molecule: unclassified non-coding RNA, 333 nt
Filed under: soil metagenome
Description: partial contains 5.8S ribosomal RNA, internal transcribed spacer 2, and large subunit ribosomal RNA
Rfam family: 5.8S ribosomal RNA (bases 1-120)
Source: RNAcentral
GAUGAAGAACGCAGCGAAAUGCGAUAAGUAAUGUGAAUUGCAGAAUUCAGUGAAUCAUCGAAUCUUUGAACGCACAUUGCGCCCGCCAGUAUUCUGGCGGGCAUGCCUGUUCGAGCGUCAUUUCAACCAUCAAGCCCGGCUUGUGUUGGGGCCCUGCGGCUGUCCGCAGGCCCUUAAAACCAGUGGCGGGCUCGCUGUCACUCCGAGCGCAGUAAUACAUCUCGCUCUGGGCGUGCUGCGGGUUCCGGCCGUUAAACCACCUUCAUAACCCAAGGUUGACCUCGGAUCAGGUAGGAAGACCCGCUGAACUUAAGCAUAUCAAUAAGCGGAGGA